GGGGAUAUGGCGAAAUCGGUAGACGCUACGGACUUUAUGAAUAUGAAAAAUGAAAGAAUUUUUACGAAUCAAAUUCAAGUUGAAAUUUGAAAAAAGAAUCAAAUAUUCAUUCAUCAAAUAAUUCACUCCAUAGUCUGAUAGAUCUUUUGAAGAGCUGAUUACCCGGACGAGAAUAAAGAUAGAGUCCCAUUCUACAUGUCAAUACUGACAACAAUGAAAUUUAUAGUAAGAGGAAAAUCCGUCGACUUUAAAAAUCGUGAGGGUUCAAGUCCCUCUAUCCCCA
Molecule: transfer RNA, 283 nt
Filed under: Gomphrena celosioides
Lineage: Eukaryota; Viridiplantae; Streptophyta; Magnoliopsida; Caryophyllales; Amaranthaceae
Description: tRNA-Leu
Source: RNAcentral